RNAcentral lists this ribosomal RNA (254 nucleotides) under uncultured bacterium. Its description in RNAcentral is "partial 16S ribosomal RNA". It matches the Rfam family "Bacterial small subunit ribosomal RNA", at positions 524 to 776 of the family's 1533-position model. The record is from RNAcentral.
UACGUAGGGUGCGAGCGUUGUCCGGAAUUAUUGGGCGUAAAGAGCUCGUAGGUGGUCUGUCGCGUCUGCUGUGAAAACUCGGGGCUUAACCCUGAGCUUGCGGUCGAUACGGGCAUGACUGGAGUUCGGCAGGGGAGACUGGAAUUCCUGGUGUAGCGGUGAAAUGCGCAGAUAUCAGGAGGAACACCGGUGGCGAAGGCGGGUCUCUGGGCCGAUACUGACGCUGAGGAGCGAAAGCGUGGGGAGCGAACAGG